AUACUUACCUGGCAAGGGAGAUACCAUGAUCACGAAGGUGGCUUUCCCAAGGUAAGGCUUAUCCAUUGCACCCCAAAUGUGCUGACCCCUGCGAUUUCCCCAAAUGUGGGAAACUCGACUGCAUAAUAUGUGGUAGUGGGGGACUGUGUUUGCGCUCUCCCCUA
Molecule: small nuclear RNA, 164 nt
Filed under: Carlito syrichta (Philippine tarsier)
Lineage: Eukaryota; Metazoa; Chordata; Mammalia; Primates; Tarsiidae
Description: U1 spliceosomal RNA (ENSTSYG00000031183.1)
Rfam family: U1 spliceosomal RNA
About the family: U1 is a small nuclear RNA (snRNA) component of the spliceosome (involved in pre-mRNA splicing). Its 5' end forms complementary base pairs with the 5' splice junction, thus defining the 5' donor site of an intron. There are significant differences in sequence and secondary structure between metazoan and yeast U1 snRNAs, the latter being much longer (568 nucleotides as compared to 164 nucleotides in human).
Source: Rfam by way of RNAcentral